Molecule: ribosomal RNA, 311 nt
Filed under: uncultured bacterium
Lineage: Bacteria
Description: bacterial SSU rRNA
Rfam family: Bacterial small subunit ribosomal RNA
Source: RNAcentral
GGUGAACGCUAGCGGCAGGCCUAACACAUGCAAGUCGAGGGGUAACAUAGAGAAGCUUGCUUUUCUGAUGACGACCGGCGCACGGGUGCGUAACGCGUAUGCAACCUACCUCUUACUGGAGAAUAGCCCAUAGAAAUGUGGAUUAAUGCUCCAUAGUAUUAUUCUUUCGCAUGUUAGAAUAAUUAAAGGUUACGGUAAGAGAUGGGCAUGCAUCCUAUUAGCUAGAUGGUAAGGUAACGGCUUACCAUGGCAACGAUAGGUAGGGGGCCUGAGAGGGUGAUCCCCCACACUGGUACUGAGACACGGACCAG